This 327-nucleotide ribosomal RNA is filed under the name uncultured Actinomycetes bacterium. RNAcentral's name for it is "bacterial SSU rRNA". It matches the Rfam family "Bacterial small subunit ribosomal RNA", at positions 29 to 351 of the family's 1533-position model. Lineage: Bacteria; Bacillati; Actinomycetota; Actinomycetes. The record is from RNAcentral.
AGCGAACGCUGGCGGCAGGCCUAAAACAUGCAAGUCGAACGAGGUCCAAGGAGCUUGCUCUGGAAGACCUAGUGGCGAACGGGUGCGUAACACGUGAGAAACCUGCCCCGAUCUCUGGGAUAACAGUUGGAAACGACUGCUAAUACCGGAUGCCGUCACACCGCUUCAUGGCGGAGUGCCGAAAGAUUUAUCGGAUCGGGAGGGUCUCGCGGCCUAUCAGCUAGUUGGAGAGGUAACGGCUCACCAAGGCAUCGACGGGUAGCUGGUCUGAGAGGAUGAUCAGCCACACUGGGACUGAGACACGGCCCAGACACCUACGGGUGGCUG